Molecule: ribosomal RNA, 497 nt
Filed under: uncultured bacterium
Lineage: Bacteria
Description: partial 16S ribosomal RNA
Rfam family: Bacterial small subunit ribosomal RNA
Source: RNAcentral
GAUGAACGCUGGCGGCGUGCCUAAUACAUGCAAGUCGAGCGAACAGACUAGGAUCUUUCUCCUCUGACGUUAGCGGCGGACGGGUGAGUAACACUUGUAUAACCUACCUAUAAGACUUGGAUAACUUCGGGAAACCUUAGCUAAUACCGGAUAAUAUAUUGAACCUCAUGGUUCAAUAGUUAAUUACGGUUUUUCUGUCACUUAUAGAUGGAUCCGCGCCGCAUUAGCUAGUUGUUAAGUUAACGGCUUACCAAGGCGACGAUGCGUAGCCGACCUGAGAGGGGGAUAGGCCACACUGGAACUGAGACACGAACCAGACUCCUACGGGAGGCAGAAGAAGGGAAUCUUCCGCAAUGGGCGAAAGCAUAACGGAGCAACGCCACGUGAGUGAUGAAGGUCUUCGGAUCGUAAAACUCUGUUAUUAGGGAAGAACAAAUGUGUAAGUAACUAUGCACGUAUUGACGGUACCUAAUCAGAAAGCCACGGCUAACUACGUG